UCUCCGUUGGUGAACCAGCGGAGCGAUCAUUAAAGAGUUCUAUAACUCCCAAACCCAUGUGAACAUACCUUACGUUGCCUCGGCAGGUCGUGCCUACCCCGUAGCGCCCUACCCUGUAGGACCUACCCGGUAGACGCGGGUAAGCCUGCCGGCGGCCCACGAAACUCUGUUUAGUAUUGAAUUCUGAACCUAUAACUAAAUAAGUUAAAACUUUCAACAACGGAUCUCUUGGUUCUG
This 237-nucleotide unclassified non-coding RNA is filed under the name plant metagenome. RNAcentral describes it as "partial contains small subunit ribosomal RNA, internal transcribed spacer 1, and 5.8S ribosomal RNA". The record is from RNAcentral.